Molecule: microRNA precursor, 102 nt
Filed under: Marmota monax (woodchuck)
Lineage: Eukaryota; Metazoa; Chordata; Mammalia; Rodentia; Sciuridae
Source: RNAcentral
AAUGGAAUUGCUGGAUCAUGUAGUAAUUCUUUUUUAAAUUUUUGAGAAACCACCAAAUUGUUUUGCACAGUGGCUGUAACAUUUUACAUUUUCACCAGCAGU